AACGCAUAUUGCGCCCUUUGGCAUUCCGAAGGGCAUGCCUGUUCGAGCGUCAUUAUCACCCCUCAAGCCCCGGCUUGGUGUUGGGCUCCCGGUGGUCGUACCCGACCACCCGCCUCAAAGAUAGUGACGGCGUCCCAGAGGGAACUGGUACGAGGAGCUUUCACGAGCAUGUACGCGGGACGACUCUGCGGGCGACGGUCUUUUUUAACUUAAUAAAGUGUUGACCUCGAAUCAGGUAGGAAUACCCGCUGAACUUAA
RNAcentral lists this unclassified non-coding RNA (258 nucleotides) under uncultured Chaetothyriales. RNAcentral describes it as "sequence contains ITS2". RNAcentral also lists the same sequence under 1 other name. Lineage: Eukaryota; Fungi; Ascomycota; Eurotiomycetes; Chaetothyriales. The record is from RNAcentral.